This is a long non-coding RNA of Homo sapiens (human), 1836 nucleotides long. Ensembl annotates it as long intergenic non-protein coding RNA 1821. NCBI's taxonomy places the organism in Eukaryota, Metazoa, Chordata, Mammalia, Primates, Hominidae. The record is from Ensembl.
AGAUGCAACAUAAAAAUUUCAGAGACAGAAGAAAUCUUCCUUUGAGGGCAGUGAUACACUUAUGUGAGAUUUUGAAAAGUGAAAAAUCAAAGGUGGAAUUGACCAGUAGAUGUAAAAGUACAACAAAUAAACAAAAAUGGCAAUGUUGAAAGUGAAACUGAAAUUCAACAGAAAUAAAAGAAAUAGCAGACUGGGGGGAUAUUGACUUUGACACCAUGAUGCCAGAGGAACUUAGUGAUGGCAAACUUAUCAAUAUAAAAUGAGGAUAUUGGUUGUCAACUAGGUUGUGUGGUGGUCCUUGAUCUUGUCCAUCAAGUCCUUUUUCCCAAAGGAUAACUGAAGAAGAUCACAUACAUUCCAACUUAUUGAGUCUGAUAGGUAUUCAUCUGAUGAGCUCCUCUUCAACUGAGGAUUGAAAUGCUGUUUUUCUUCCCUGGUACAAUGUUAAAGCUUUAAACUCUUGUCAAUGAUGUGAUGUUUCAUCUGCAAUGAUCUACACUAGAAAAAUAAAAAUGUAGUUACUGACAAAAAAGCAGGAACUACUGCUCUAAGGAAAAAAGGACAGCUACAUGAGGACCACACAACUCCUGGAAGAGGUUUCCCUGGCAACACAACUUUUCCAUUCAUCUGGUUGCAGUGUUUUCAUCCAGUAGCCUGUCACCUCACUCAAAAGCAGGGCAAUGGAGAGAAAGAAACUUACCAAGUUUUUUCUUUUAACUAGAGAGUAGCCUACUUAUUGGGCCCUGCAAUUAAUUUCAGUACUCCAGGCAGAUUUAUAAAGGAAGCUGCUGGAAGGAAUUCAUUCCCUUUUUGCUGUUCUGCCUUCCACCUUCCACUGUGUGAGGACACUGCAAGAAAGCCCUCAUCAGACACCAACUGCCAGCACCUAGAUCUUGGAAUUCUCAGCCUCCAGAACUGUGAGAAACACGUUUCUGUUUUUCUAUAAAAUAAUAAUAAUAAAAAACUUCCAUGCAGGAAAAAAAAUCAAGUUCAAAGGUCCUGUGGUGAGGGCAUACCAGCUUUGUUUGAGAAGCAGUAAUCAUGCCUGUGUGACUGUAAUGAAAGAAUAAAAGAGAAAUGAGCACAGAAGAAUAUAAUGUAGUCCUUUUCAUUUUAAGCAAGAAAUUUGGCUUCAAUUCUAAAUGUGAUAAGAAAAAAACAGAAGGUUCCAAACUGAGAAGUGACAUAAUAUGAAAUGUUUUAACAGAAUCACCUUGUUACCAUAUUGCAAAUAAAAUGAAAGUGCAUCAAGGGCAGAAGUAGGAAGGCAAGUUAUGAGGUCAUUUUGAUAAUCCAGAGGAGCUGGGAUGAUGACUUACAGCAGUAUAGUAGCAAGGGUUGGGUGAGAACGUGGAAUCCUGGGUAUAUAUUAAAGUUUCAGCAAAAAGGAUUUAUAGAUGAAACAGAUAUGGGUUAUGAGAAAGAGUCAAGUUAAAGAUUAUAUCAAAAUUUUUUAUCUGAACAACUGGUAGUAUUGUGGUGAAUCCUUACCCCAUCAAUUUACGUGACCGAUAACUGAGUGGGAACAUUAAGGAAGGGAUGGUUUGAGUGAGAAUCAGGAUCUCAGUUUGGAAAUAUUAAGUUGAAUAUGCCUAUUUAAUAAUCAAAUGAAAAAUAGUAUUUUUGUAAUUUUCAGUAUUUAUUUGGCAAGAGAUUAAAUAAUCUAUAGCAUUGUUACUACUUUCUCUUUUUCAUAAAAGUUAUUUUGGUAUAAAAUCAACCUGACUGGGAACUAUCCAAAUAUAUAAGCCUUUAGCUUUGACCUAUUACUUAUAUUUUUUUGCCAUUAAUAAUAUGAACAUCCACUAAACAAGAACUUGAGACUAUAACUCUUCU